RNAcentral lists this ribosomal RNA (509 nucleotides) under uncultured Bacteroidales bacterium. Its description in RNAcentral is "bacterial SSU rRNA". It matches the Rfam family "Bacterial small subunit ribosomal RNA", at positions 8 to 507 of the family's 1533-position model. The record is from RNAcentral. Lineage: Bacteria; Pseudomonadati; Bacteroidota; Bacteroidia; Bacteroidales.
AGAGUUUGAUCCUGGCUCAGGAUGAACGCUAGCGGCAGGCUUAACACAUGCAAGUCGAGGGGCAUCGGGAGGGAAGCUUGCUUUCCUUGCCGGCGACCGGCGCACGGGUGAGUAACACGUAUGCAACCUGCCCUCUUCAGGGGGACAACCUUCCGAAAGGGAGGCUAAUCCCGCGUAUAUCGGUUUCGGGCAUCCGAGAUCGAGGAAAGAUUCAUCGGAAGAGGAUGGGCAUGCGGCGCAUUAGCUUGACGGCGGGGUAACGGCCCACCGUGGCGACGAUGCGUAGGGGUUCUGAGAGGAAGGUCCCCCACACUGGUACUGAGACACGGACCAGACUCCUACGGGAGGCAGCAGUGAGGAAUAUUGGUCAAUGGGAGAGAUCCUGAACCAGUCAAGCCGCGUGAGGGAAGACGGCCCUAUGGGUUGUAAACCUCUUUUGUCGGAGAACAAAACCCGGGACGUGUCCCGGACUGCGUGUAUCCGAAGAAAAAGCAUCGGCUAACUCCGUG